UACGAAGGGGGCUAGCGUUGCUCGGAAUCACUGGGCGUAAAGCGCACGUAGGCGGACUCUUAAGUCGGUGGUGAAAUCCUGGAGCUCAACUCCAGAACUGCCUUCGAUACUGGGAGUCUUGAGUCCGGGAGAGGUGAGUGGAACUGCGAGUGUAGAGGUGAAAUUCGUAGAUAUCUGGAGGAACACCGGUGGCGAAGGCGGCGUCCUGGACCAACACUGACACUGAUGAGCGAAAGCCAGGGGAGCAAACGGG
RNAcentral lists this ribosomal RNA (253 nucleotides) under uncultured bacterium. RNAcentral's name for it is "partial 16S ribosomal RNA". It matches the Rfam family "Bacterial small subunit ribosomal RNA", at positions 524 to 776 of the family's 1533-position model. The record is from RNAcentral.